RNAcentral lists this transfer-messenger RNA (353 nucleotides) under bacterium. It matches the Rfam family "transfer-messenger RNA". Rfam says of the family: Bacterial tmRNA, also known as 10Sa RNA or SsrA, is named for its dual tRNA and mRNA-like properties. Its role is to liberate the mRNA from a stalled ribosome. The record is from RNAcentral.
GGGGGUGGAUUGCUUCGACAGGAAUAUGAACCGGAAUCCGCAAGUAAAACAAAAAAUAAGUGCCAACUUAUUCAAACAACCAGCUCUAGCUUACGCUAACGCAUAAGCUGGGGCCAUCCGAAUCCUUGAUUCUCGAUAGGGGAAUCCGGGUGUUAUAUCAAUCGAGAUAGGCAAACGCAGUUCCUCGGGCGAUUGCCGAAACUAAGAGGAUAGGAAUAAGAAUUUUUUGUCUGCUUGCCCUGAGUUUAUCGAAGGGCUACAUACCUCUUAUUCCGAACGGCAAAACAGACUAAACUUGUAGACGAUUCUUGGCAAGAUUUCUGGAUCGGGGUUCAAACCCCGCACCUCCACUC